GAACAUAAACUCAGAAAACUAGUCAGAGCAUAGAUGAAGACAGAUGAUGCAUGUUAGGCAUAAAAAUCUCUUGGUUUUAGCACCUCAUCCAUGCAAAGUCACAUCCAACCCCCAUUGCUCCAUCGCCUCUCCCAGUUACUCCUUUUCCCUCUUAUAUCCUAACGGACAACCAAAACACCUUGUAGUCAGUUCUAAAGCUGCCUUCCUAGUGUAAAAGGAAGCCCCAUUAUUAUUGCUUUCACUGCACAUCCCCAUCCCUCUAAACCUCCAACUCUUCUUUAUAAACGCCACCACCUUUCUCCUCCAAUCCCCACUUCUUCUUCGCUGCUUCUUUCUUUCUUUCAAUGAUGCUGUUAUUUUCUUUUUGUUUGUUUUAUAUAUAUCUUGUCUCCUUUGGGAAAGUUCCUACAUCUCUUCAUCUUUGUCUUGGGAUUCUGGGUUCUAUUUCAUUGGUUUAGAGAUCAAUAAUGAUUGGCAUAUCAUGUAGCAGUGUUUUUCAUCUAAAGUCUUGCAUGUGGAAACGAGGUUAUCUAUCUAUAUGUGAUACAGCCAAGGAUGACUUGCCGGCUCACUUCUACUUAACAUAAAUCAUGCUCUCUACAUAAGCAGCUAAAAGUUAGAGCACUAAGCUAAAACCUGUAUAUGUUGUCAUCAAUUAAUUUAUAAUAAAUGUUAAUUGAUCGGCAAGUCAUCCGUGGCUAUAUCAUUGUCUCAUUUUCUCAUUCUAGAUUUAUGAUGAAAUUACAAAAAUAGAAGUGAAUCCUUGAGUGCUGAUGAACUGCUCCAUAAACGCUUCAAGGUUUCAAUUUGCUCCAUUUCCUUGUUUGCUUAGUGAAGCUCAUGUAUCGAUUCCAGAUAUAAUUUGUACAUAAAGAUAUUAAUUUCAAGUAUUUUAUAUUCAUAUUUAGCGGUGCAAAAAUUCACAUGAAUAAUAAGUAUAAAUAAAUCAUUUCUAUUUUAAUAUCGCAGGAAAGUUGAAAUAUUAAUACAUCCGUGCUAUAUUAUAGACAUCGUACAUGGCACAGAGUUUGGCAUUUUUUUUUAAAAAAAGAGGACAGAAAGGUUGGAAAGUGUUGUCAUUUUCUGCUAAA
Long non-coding RNA from Gossypium raimondii (Peruvian cotton), 1091 nucleotides. RefSeq lists it as uncharacterized. The record is from RefSeq and is a predicted model, not a curated record. Lineage: Eukaryota; Viridiplantae; Streptophyta; Magnoliopsida; Malvales; Malvaceae. The transcript has 2 exons.